This 301-nucleotide long non-coding RNA is filed under the name Zostera marina. RNAcentral describes it as "long non-coding RNA (ZMAR_LNC005994)". The record is from RNAcentral. Lineage: Eukaryota; Viridiplantae; Streptophyta; Magnoliopsida; Alismatales; Zosteraceae.
GUUAAUACUUCAUUAAUUUCUUUAGGUAACAAAUCGAUGAAAGCAAUUGGUAAUAAUCUUUGCAUGAACACAUGACAGUCAUGAGACUUCAUACCUGAGAAUUUGCAAUCUUCGACGCUUGCACAUCUAGAUAUAUUUGAAACAUAACCAUCAGGGAAACGCAAUGUCUUCACCCAUUCACAAACUUUCUUGAUUUGGUCCUUCUCAAGAGCAUAAGAGGCCUUAGGAAUAAAUAUUUUGUCGUCACAAAUUUGUGGGUGCAAGCUAUGUCUAAUACGCAUAUCCUGAAGGUCUUUCCGAG